Molecule: ribosomal RNA, 443 nt
Filed under: uncultured bacterium
Lineage: Bacteria
Description: partial 16S ribosomal RNA
Rfam family: Bacterial small subunit ribosomal RNA
Source: RNAcentral
CCUACGGGAGGCAGCAGUGGGGAAUAUUGGGCAAUGGGCGCAAGCCUGACCCAGCAACGCCGCGUGAAGGAAGAAGGCCCUCGGGUUGUAAACUUCUUUUGUCAGGGACGCAACAAAUUACGGUACCUGACGAAUAAGCCACGGCUAACUACGUGCCAGCAGCCACGGUAAUCCGUAGGGGGCAAGCGUUAUCCGGAUUUCCUGGGUGUAAAGGGCGUGUAGGCGGGAGAGCAAGUCAGAUGUGAAUUUCCAGGGCUCAACCCUGGUACUGCCUUUGAAACUGUUUUUCUUGAGGGAUGGAGAGGCAGGCGGAAUUCCGUGUGUAGCGGUGAAAUGCGUAGAUAUACGGAGGAACACCAGUGGCGAAGGCGGCCUGCUGGACAUUAACUGACGCUGAGGCGCGAAAGCGUGGGGAGCAAACAGGAUUAGAUACCCGUGUAGUC